Long non-coding RNA from Pan troglodytes (chimpanzee), 2362 nucleotides. RefSeq lists it as uncharacterized. The record is from RefSeq and is a predicted model, not a curated record. NCBI's taxonomy places the organism in Eukaryota, Metazoa, Chordata, Mammalia, Primates, Hominidae. The transcript has 3 exons.
GCCCCUCGGCCACCGUCCGCCGGGGACCGGGAAAGCUGAGACACCGCCGGGCUUGGGGCGCCGCAGUCCCGGGAACGGAGGGUCUCACUCUGUUGACCAGGAUGGAGUACAGUAAUACAGUCAUGGCUCACUGCAGCCUCAACCUCCCAAGCUCAAGCAGGAGGAAGAUCUUUUGAGGGUAGAAGGCCCUGAAGAGGCAUUUCAAGAGGAAUGGGUUUUGCUUCCUGGUCCAAUUGUGCUCACUGGCACACUUCUGCAGCACAGCAGCUUCUCCAGCAUCUGUUCCUGCUUUGAUUGGUGGCCAGAAACACUGAGCAGCCAGCAGUGUUCCUUAGCAUCCUAUUGGGCUGUUUUAUAGCAGAGGCUUCCAGGAGACCCCUCCCCAUGAAUACAUUUCCUCAGCAACCUAAAAGUGCCAGAAAAUUCUAGAGGGUGGAUUUAUAGGAAGUUCCACUGGAAGAUUCCCAAUGACUUCUUGCCAUUUAAUGAGCCAUAGCCACACUCUUCAAAAGGGUCUCAAUCUGCCCUGGCUGGAGGCGAGAGGCUCCUCUUUGGGAACUCUGUCACAGCAUUAGAGUAGCAGCUGUUCCUUAUAUCUGCUAUUGCUAUACUCUUUAAAGCUCUCUAGUUCUUAUUAGCCAGUGCUUCAUUAUUCCAAUACCCUGUUAUAGCUAAUAAUUCCUCAUAUAUUAAACUGUCUUUAUUCAAAUGAGCAUGGUUUGUCUUCUGAUUAGACUUUGAUGAAGAUAUCUUAAGCUUUUCCAUGGAUCCAUCUAUGCCUGGACCUUGUAUAUAGAAGGAAUUCAAUGAAUACAGUCCCUUAAUAGCAUCAUGACACACAGUUUUCUUAUGUAGUUGUCACAAUUUCAGGCCCUUUCAUCCUUACAUUUAUUGAGCAGUUAUUGUCUGUGCUCAGGAAUCUUGCUGUGUGGCAGGAGAUAAGAGGAGAGAAUCAGUAGCUAGAAGAAUACAACAGCUAAAGUGGCCUUGGUGAAUAGUCCAGAAUGAUAAAAAACUUAGAUCACUAAAAAAAAUUGCAUGAGAUGACACUGCAGAGAUAAGGUAGAGUCAGAUGAUGACAGGCUUUGACUUCUAUUGGGAAAGGCAGUUUGCUGUGGCCUUGAGCAUCUCUGCAUGUGCUUGCUAAGUAUGCCAAACACAAGGCUUAACUUUCCCCUAAUACUGAACCAUUUCUAGCUAGUCACAUCAGCAUUUAACUAGGUUAAGAUGACCACAGCAUAACUACCAUACAACAGCUCACUCCCUCAGGGAAGGAGGCUGGUUUGUUUGCCACUUGCUACAAAAGAUGCUAGGCCCUUAGCCCUGGAUCCCUCAGUCAUGGUGCAAACCACUGCAUGUGCAACCACUGUCCGGGCCCAUUGCAUUUACUCCAUAGGACUUGAGGACAGGCCAACCAGUGCUACCAUGCUGGUACUCCUACUGUAUGCUGUGUUGAAUAAUAAAUUUCUUCAUCUGAUCCACCAAAUCUCAUCUACAUUGGUACCAAUGGAGUUGUGGCUGGUGAACCUGCUUUCUUGCUUAGUCAUCUCCGUUGGAGUCUUGUUAUUUCUUGCUCUUCUCUAGGAGGUUGGGGCUCUUCUCUAACAAAGGGUGCCAUGACACAGGCACACACACACACUACAAAAUGAAAAUAAACAUGAACUAGAAAGAUGUUUCCUUAUUUGAGAAAUGCAGAUAAAUGGCAAAGCUGUUGGAAACCAGAAAACCAUGUAAUUUUGAGUAUUUAAAAUCAAUCCUGUAUUGUGAUACACUAAGACCAAACUUGAAUGUUAUUCCACAUAAGAAUCUAGCCAACAGAAUGUAGUUCAGAUUUGGGAAAUGAUGGUGAGGAAACUAUAUUUUAUGGAAUUGCUAAUACAUUUAAAACAGUAGUUGGUAAGAAAAAAGUGUGUUCUGGGCCAGGUGUGGUGGCUCACGCCUGUAAUCCCAGUACUUUGGGAGGCCAAGAUGGGCGGAUUACCUGAGGUCAGGAGUUUGAGACCAGCCUGGCUAAUGUGGCGAAACCCCGUCUCUACUAAAAAUACAAAAAUUAGCCGGGAGUGGUGAUGUGUGCCUGUAGUCCCAACUACUUGGGGGGCUGAGGCAGGAGAAUUGCUUGAACCUGGGAGGCGGAGGUUGCAGUGAGCCAAGAUCAAGUCACUGCACUCCAGCCUGGGCAACAGACCAAGACUCCGUCUCAAAAAAAAAAAAAAAGUGUUCUUUUACUUUUUACAAUAAAUCCUGUUUGAGAAGUUAUGAUCCUUGUGUAAAAAUAUCUGUAGCAAGUAGUCUGUCAUUUGUGCAGUGAUAACUGUGGGCAUUGAUGUUUUUAGAUUAAAUCCUGUAUUUGAAUAAAGAUGUU